RNAcentral lists this ribosomal RNA (164 nucleotides) under uncultured bacterium. RNAcentral describes it as "partial 16S ribosomal RNA". It matches the Rfam family "Bacterial small subunit ribosomal RNA", at positions 355 to 511 of the family's 1533-position model. The record is from RNAcentral.
UAGGGAAUCUUCGGCAAUGGACGAAAGUCUGACCGAGCAACGCCGCGUGAGUGAAGAAGGUUUUCGGAUCGUAAAACUCUGUUGGUAGAGAAGAACAAGGAUGAGAGUAACUGUUCAUCCCUUGACGGUAUCUAACCAGAAAGCCACGGCUAACUACGUGCUAG